GGUGAACGCUGGCGGCGCGCCUAAUGCAUGCAAGUCGAGCGUGUCCCGAUGGCUUCGGCUAUCGGGAAAAGCGGCAAACGGCUGAGUAACACGUGAGCAACCUGCCCUCUGGUGGGGUACAGCCCCGAGAAAUCGAGGUUAAUCCCGCAUAAGAUCCCCGGACCCUGGUGCGGGGAUGAAAGCCCUCGGGCGCCGGAGGAGGGGCUCGCGUCCUAUCAGGUAGUUGGUGGGGUAAUGGCCCACCAAGCCGAUGACGGGUAGCUGGUCUGAGAGGAUGGCCAGCCAGAGGGGGACUGAGACACGGCCCCCACUCCUACGGGAGGCAGCAGCAGGGAAUUUUGGGCAAUGGGCGAAAGCCUGACCCAGCGACGUCGCGUGGGGGAAGAAGGCCUUCGGGUCGUAAACCCCUUUUCCAACGGGAAGAGCAAGGACGGUACCUUGGGAAUAAG
RNAcentral lists this ribosomal RNA (449 nucleotides) under uncultured bacterium. RNAcentral describes it as "bacterial SSU rRNA". It matches the Rfam family "Bacterial small subunit ribosomal RNA", at positions 28 to 490 of the family's 1533-position model. The record is from RNAcentral.